RNAcentral lists this transfer RNA (91 nucleotides) under Anaeromyxobacter sp. PSR-1. RNAcentral describes it as "tRNA-Arg". Lineage: Bacteria; Pseudomonadati; Myxococcota; Myxococcia; Myxococcales; Anaeromyxobacteraceae. The record is from RNAcentral.
GCGGAAGAUGCUCGGCCUGGCCGGCCUGCCGCCGGCGCAGGCCGAGGCGGGCGCCGCCGCGGUCGAGCGGUUCGAGACCGCGCUGGCGCGC